UAUUCCGUGUCCUAUGCCAAAGUUUAGCAGAAAGUUUAGCUAAACAGACUUCUAUGGGCACGGGUAAGCCUCGGGCAAGGAGCGAACAACCACUGUAGACACAGAUCUCAGUUAUUUAACGUUAGUUAUUACAGACAGAUCUGGCAUUUCUCCAUCUGGAAAAUACUACUUAAAACACAACUGCAAUUAUUUUAUUUUAUAUUUGUCCAAGAUAGCUAGCUGCAAAGCUAGCAAGCUAGUUAAUUUAAGAUGUCUCUAGAUCCAGUUCGCCAGCAGAGCAGCACUCGCCAAAAAGACAGCAAACCAAAAGCUGCCAACAUUGCAGUGGGUGCCGGAUAGACAAUGGUGGUCCUUCAUUCUCGAAUGUGAAGCCGACGGACCCUAGCAGGAAGGACCAGAGAAAAGUGUUUGCUUAAGGAGAGGAACGACAUGCAUGACCUUCUGGCUCUCCUCUCUACUGAGACCGAUCUGGCCACAGCAGCGCAGGCCCAGCUCCAACAGACCGAUCUGGCCACAGCAGCGCAGGCCCAGCUCUAACAGACCGAUCUGACCACAGCAGCGCAGGCCUAGCUCUAACAGACCGAUCUGACCACAGCAGCGCAGGCCCAGCUCUAACAGACCGAUCUGACCACAACAGCGCAGGCCCAGCUCUAACAGACCGAUCUGACCACAGCAGCGCAGGCCCAGCUCUAACAGACCGAUCUGACCACAACAGCGCAGGCCCAGCUCUAACAGACCGAUCUGACCACAGCAGCGCAGGCCCAGCUCUAACAGACCGAUCUGGCCACAGCAGCGCAGACCCAGCUCCAACAGACCGAUCUGACCACAGCAGCGCAAGCCCAGCUCCAACAGACCGAUCUGACCACAGCAGCGCAGGCCCAGCUCCAACAGACCGAUCUGACCACAGCAGCGCAGGCCCAGCUCCAACAGACCGAUCUGGCCACAGCAGCGCAGGCCCAGCUCUAACAGUGGUCUUCCCAACAGGCUGUCCUGUUCUGCUCCCCUUUGGCAACAGCUACUGCCACAACAAAAGAGGAUUGCUCUGAAGAGUACCUGCUGGAUACAGGUAAUUGAAAUUAUCACACACAUAUUUAUGUGUGCAGGCACUAAGUCAUUCUGUCGUUCUCUCACUCACACACACACACACACACACACACACACACACACACGUACAAGACACCGUCUUGUACCACGGCCGAUGGACAGAGCCCAUUAGAGCUGCCAGUGAUAGGCUACUGGCCAAUCACCACGGGGAAGAAGAUAUCCUGAAGCGGGUGAAUCUGCUCUGCUCUUAACACCACCCCAGAGAAGCUCCUAGCGACACACAGCUGUGGCAUUAUGUUACUGUAGAGAGUGAAACAGUCAGUGUCCCAGUCAUGUCCUCAGUCAUGUCCCCUACCACCUGCACUUACCCAGCAGAAGGCCUCACCUACUCAACGUUUCCAUUUGAGGAUUUAGCUUCCGCUGCCUUCUUUCAAUGGGAAAUGGAGGCCUCGAAGCAGAGGGGGCAGUGAGGAAGGAGCGAACAGAGGAAAGAGAUGAGCAUCCCUCCGGCCGUCUGUACAGGUUCUGCCAGCAGCCGCUGAAACAAAUAUCCAACAGCCCAUAUCAGCUUUUCUUGAGUGGUAGGAAAAUGUCUACUGCCUAGUGUUUCCCCUGUACAUUGUACAGGGCAUUGGAGGGAGCUCCAACAGUCUGCCUUUUAUGAGGCUGAAAAGAAGAGAUGGAUGGUGGAGAAGGGUAGUGACUCUAUACACACCUACACACAGAAAUAAAUAGGAGCUGCAAAUCUAUUGUCAUGGAAAUUACCACCAGGGACUCAAAGUCAAACUUAAAUGAAUCAUUCUUUAUUUUCAGUUAACUGGUUCCAACAAACUUAAUGCACCAUAGUACACGUCGGUCGGGAGCUCUGUCCCUCAAUUGUUCGCGGAUGAUGUGUCUCCUUUUGGGCAGCUCACAGUAAGGGUCUGGGUGGGUCCUCGUUUUUUGGUCCUUCAUGCUUCAUGAAAUGUGCCACCGGUUUUCCUCACUGGAAAGCUCCGCAGGCAGAAUCAAUCAUCUGGUUCUUGAUGCCAAAUUGUCAUGGAAAUUACCACCAGGGACUCAAAGUCAAACUUAAAACGAAUCAUUAUUUAUUGUCAGUUAACUGGAGAAGUUCCAACAAACUUAAUGCACCAUAGUACACGUCGGUCGGGAGCUCUCCGGGGCAGUCCCGUUAGUUCUCUUAGAUACUGCUUACACAGACAAGUUAUAUUAGCAUGAUUUACAUUGUACAUUAUUCCUGAUUAAUUCAUUUGGUUAUUGCUUAAACUAUCAAAGGAGGUUCUAUUAAAUACGUCAUUAUAAGUAAGCGAAAUGAACACAUAAAACCAGACACUUCAUCCUUUCAAACCCUUCAUUCUGUGUUGUGCAAUCCAACUUGUAUAACCAUUGCAGUAGAAUGUUUUAUGCUUCGCUACAGGACACUAUUUCCAUUGAUGGAAGUGGUUAGGACUCUCGUUUGCUUUGUAUCUAACUCACUGUUCAUUAUUUGAUAUUUAAUCAGUAAGGCCAGAGGAGGUGUGGUAUAUGGCCAAUAUACCACAGUUAAGGGCUGUUCUUAUGCAAGACACAACGCAGAGUGGCUGGACACAGCCUUAGCCGUGGUAUACUGUCCAUAUAUCACAAACCCCAGAGGUGGCUUAUUGCUAUUAUAAACUAGUUACCAAUGUAAUCAGAGCAGUAAAACUACAUGUGCUUUCAGCCAAUCAGAAUUCAGGACUCAAACCACCCAGUUUAUAAUACUGAACAUACAUUGCUGUAUAUUUUGUUGUACAAAGGAUUGUUCUCCAACACUAUCAUAAAUACAGUAUGCCUGUGAUUUCAUUAAAGUAAACCUCAAAGUAAA
This is a long non-coding RNA of Oncorhynchus kisutch (coho salmon), 2887 nucleotides long. RefSeq lists it as uncharacterized. NCBI's taxonomy places the organism in Eukaryota, Metazoa, Chordata, Actinopteri, Salmoniformes, Salmonidae. The record is from RefSeq and is a predicted model, not a curated record. The transcript is spliced from 4 exons.